GCAAGUAUUUGGUUCUUUCUCCAAUCCGAAUACUCUCAAGGAACAGAUCAAGAAUAGAGUCAGGUUUUGCCCAUUCUCGAUCCACCAUGGUAAUAAUCACCAUCUUGUCUUCUGUAGCUAUUUCUUUGACUAGUCUCGAUAAGCUUGAAGAUUCCUAUGACCACGAGGAAGUACAAAAUUUAUCAAUAAUGUUACUGAAUAAAAUUAAAUUAGCAUCAUACCUAAUGGGAUAAUAAUCUUUGAUCUUACAAGUUGAAGAUGCGAGAGUUGUGUUCCUCUGAUAGAAUUCAUGUAUGGAGCACAAGAGGGAUGUGACAACAACCAAAGGAUGAUGAAGAGAAGGAAGCAUAUGAAAAGGUACGGUGACUUCACUAUCCUUACAAUCUGCAUUUUUGUUCUUCUGAGUUUAGACUGCACACAAUCUUAAGAUAUAGAAAUCUUGAAUGUCCACACAUAUAUGUUCUUUUGUUAUAUUUGUGCAUUCAUGGUGAUUAUACUAUGAUGGAUAGAUUGAAUAGAGAAGAAGGGGUUCAUGCAGCAGAAUCUGAUUAUAAUUAAGCAUUUCCUUUUGCUGCCAAAUCCAUAUUUGUAAAGUAAAUAAAUGGUUAGAUUUUACAUUAUUGGGAAUUUGGGAUACUAUCCUUUAUGUCAAAUUAAUGCAUUUUGCACUUUUUUAGAAUUUAUUACCCAAAUAACUUUUGUUUUGACUCAAUUAUAGAUUUUUACAAGAGAUAUUUUCUCUAAAUUUUACUUCCAUUUUUUAUUAUUGGUUUCCUGAUUUUCUUUUUUUUUUCCAAGUACAUAUUGAAUUACUUACAAAAGUUUUAAAGUUGGUUGACUAUUCUCUCCCUAAUUAAGAUUACAAACACCCAUUAAUUAAAAUGUCUUUCUUAUGUUUAUAUAAAUUACAUCUUGUAAAAUAUAAUAGAGAAAGUGACAUAUGGCAAUCCACAAAUACAUAUCCAAUAGGGGAAGCAAAACCAAUCAUUUGUAAUUGAAACCGGUUUGAUUAUUAAAAAUUGGUUUGCUAAACCAAAUAAGCAAUGAAAAAUAUGUUGAUAAGAUUUGACACAUCAGAAAUGGGAAAUAUAUCGAUGUAACAAUAUAUAUAUGAUGUUGAACGUAUUCGUUUUCUUUUAAAAUGUUCGACUUCGACCUUUUGUUUCUUUAAUCCAACUUAAGUUUUUGAUAUCUUAGUCUUAGACACUCACAUCCAUAUAUAGACGUUACGAAUAUACACUUUUUUCUUUCUUUAACAAUGUAGACUAAAGUAUUAAAACAUAUAUGUUAUUCCUAUAAAAAAACGAAUUAACAAAGACUCAAAUCCCCUCCCAAAAAGAGUUCUUGAAACCAAGUAAGCUAUCAAAUUUUGGUGCUCCAACUAUAUAUACUAAAAAUAUAGGUUCGUUUUCUUGUGACAUUGUAUAUUUUAUUAUAUCAUUUGUAAAAGAAAGAAAAGAAGAAAACAGAUGAGUAUUAGAAAAUUAGUUCUUAUAUUUCCAACUUUCUUUAAAAUUUGACCAUAUGUGUGGGAUGAUUAUUUGAAAACAUGAAAAGAUGGCAAAAUCAUGAAUAAGUGGAUAGUGUAUGAUAUGAUCACAUAUGUUUUAAGAAAAUAGUGUGAAAUUUGUGUAUAAUUUAAAUGAAUAAUUAUUAUAAAUAAUGCGUAAAAUCACAUUUUGCAGUUUUUUAAACUUUUGUCUCCAUAUAUAAAUUUUACAAAUAAACCUCAAAGCAUUUGAUUAUUUUAUACAUUCUGAUUGAGUGCAUAUACAUCUCAAGUAUUGUCAAUGCCAUGACAAUAUAUCAAGUUUUCUCAACACACUAUUAUCGUGAAUUAUUAAUUAAUUAAUCAUAUUAUUGGGAAAAAAAAUUGGGUAGUACGAUCCGAAGACUCAAAAAAACUGGUCCACUCUUGUAGAUUCUGAUAAACCAAAACUACCUAAUCCUUAAAUAAAAUCUUUAUUGCCUAAUGUUUUUCUAAUUCAUCAAAUUCAUAACAAAUAGUAUUCAUUUGUUUUAAAAUCAUUUUGGUCACUAUCAACCCCAAAGUCGAGGAAUUACAUAACAAAACAUAUAAAAGAGUGUGUGUACGCAUCUGGUCGGCCAAAGGCGGUGCGGUGAGUCGACACCGUGUUCAAUAUUACCAUAUCUCUUUUUUAUUUUAUUUUAUUUUUCCCAAAUAUUAAAAUCGUCAAUAUCUUUGCCUAACUUCAUACUCAAAAGAAAAAAGUAUAUGCAAAUCUCGAUAUCUAAUUAUUUUAAUACCGCAUUUUGCAUGAAAAAGACUUCUUAUUCGUCAUUCAUAUAAAAUCUCUAUUAAUAAGUGUUUGUAAUUAAACUCAUGAAUUUGAUCAUACGUUGUUGUUACGCUUUAAUUUCGCAUUAAUUAAACUUAUAAAAUAAAUUUGUCACGUUAACUAACAAUCCAACCUAGCAUUUUUUUUUUCCGGAAUAUAUACAGAAACAUGCAUGUUGGUUUAUUAAGAUCGGCGGAUUUGUUCCACAACAAAAAAAUCAUUGCACAUGACAUGUUAAUGUUUUGAUUAUAUGUUUUCAAUGUAUCUUUUACUACUUCUGUGACUGGUUCGUUCAACAUUUAUCAUGUUGCGAGAGCUCUUACAAUGUUCUAAUAUUGUUUCUGUUUGGUUUGUAUAUACAUAUCUUAGUUCAAUACUGUUUGGUCCGAACAAAUUGAUCAAAAGCAUUUUGUUUAACUUGUGUUUUCUAAUAUAUAAUUUAUAUUUGUAACUAUAAGUGUAUUUAUGUUGUGACGGUCAGUAAUCUUUUUUCUUUUCAUCAUCUCUGCUCAGCUCAAUCAUGAGGGGAAAGAACUCAAAAAUUAAAUAAAUAAAAAAAGCAAAAAAGAAAAACAAAACUCACAUGAAGCAUAUGACUAGAUACGUGUUCCAUUCAAGAGACCAGCCAGUUGGAUUUAGAUCUGAUCAAGAAGGUCGUCGUCGAAUAGGGACUCUACACAUAUGGAUCACAUGGUUUUCACAGUCGCCACGUGUGUGUGUGUGUGUAGCUUCUUUCUGUAUUGUCCCCAUUCCUCUCACCAAAACUUAUGUACAACACAUUUAUUUGGUUGGCUCGAUUAUUCAUUAAUUUCAUAAUUAUUUUCCUAACCAAG
This 3133-nucleotide long non-coding RNA is filed under the name Capsella grandiflora. RNAcentral describes it as "long non-coding RNA (CGRA_LNC000577)". Lineage: Eukaryota; Viridiplantae; Streptophyta; Magnoliopsida; Brassicales; Brassicaceae. The record is from RNAcentral.